This is a small nucleolar RNA of Dioscorea cayenensis subsp. rotundata (Guinea yam), 107 nucleotides long. NCBI's taxonomy places the organism in Eukaryota, Viridiplantae, Streptophyta, Magnoliopsida, Dioscoreales, Dioscoreaceae. The record is from RefSeq and is a predicted model, not a curated record.
AAUCCAUGUUGCGGGCACUUUCUCAGAAGCUCUUUAAAUCUUUCCCACGUCUUAAAUAGAGACUCUAAUUUUGAUUGUACAAAGGACGAGAUCUCUUUUCUAAUCUU